CAGUAGCCGCGGUAAUACGUAGGGUGCAAGCGUUAAUCGGAAUUACUGGGCGUAAAGCGCACGUAGGCGGUUAUUCAAGUCAGAGGUGAAAGCCCGGGGCUCAACCCCGGAACUGCCUUCGAAACUAGAUGACUGGAAUCUUGGAGAGGUCAGUGGAAUUCCGAGUGUAGAGGUGAAGUUCGUAGAUAUUCGGAAGAACACCAGUGGCGAAGGCGACUGACUGGACAAGUAUUGACGCUGAGGUGCGAAAGCGUGGGGAGCAAACAGGAUUAGAUACCCCGGUAGUCCCUGUCUCUUAUAC
Molecule: ribosomal RNA, 301 nt
Filed under: uncultured bacterium
Lineage: Bacteria
Description: partial 16S ribosomal RNA
Rfam family: Bacterial small subunit ribosomal RNA
Source: RNAcentral